Molecule: ribosomal RNA, 557 nt
Filed under: Pseudarthrobacter oxydans
Lineage: Bacteria; Bacillati; Actinomycetota; Actinomycetes; Micrococcales; Micrococcaceae
Description: bacterial SSU rRNA
Rfam family: Bacterial small subunit ribosomal RNA
Source: RNAcentral
GCGAACGGGUGAGUAACACGUGAGUAACCUGCCCUUAACUCUGGGAUAAGCCUGGGAAACUGGGUCUAAUACCGGAUAUGACUCCUCAUCGCAUGGUGGGGGGUGGAAAGCUUUAUUGUGGUUUUGGAUGGACUCGCGGCCUAUCAGCUUGUUGGUGAGGUAAUGGCUUACCAAGGCGACGACGGGUAGCCGGCCUGAGAGGGUGACCGGCCACACUGGGACUGAGACACGGCCCAGACUCCUACGGGAGGCAGCAGGGGGGAAUAUUGCACAAGGGGCGCAAGCCUGAUGCAGCGACCCCGCGUGAGGGAUGAAGGCCUUCGGGUUGUAAACCUCUUUCAGUAGGGAAAAAGCGAAAGUGACGGUCCCGGAAAAAAACGCCGGCUAACUACCUGCCAGCAGCCGCGUUAAUACGAGGGCGCAAGCGUUAUGCGGAAUUAUUGGGCGUAAAGAGCUCGUAGCCGGUUUUUCGCGUCUGCCGUGAAAGUCCGGGGCUCAACUCCGGAUCUGCGGUGGGUACGGGCAGACUAAAGUGAUGUAGGGAAGACUGGAAUUUC